GUUCUCAAAUUUUACUUGGUUCAAGCAAGUAUUGUGUCAUUUUAUCUCAAAGGUGAAACAUUGUCUAUUACCCAAACAAAACCCUAAUUUAGGCCAGGAUUCAGUGCUGAAUGAAUCUGCAAAAAAUCGCAAUCGAAAUUAAAGUAGUUAAUAGGUGGCAUCAUAAGUCCGAUUCACAGAAUUCCCAGCAAUUUUGAUUCAAAUCCAGUUCAGUUAAUUUGUGAGGUGAUCGAGCAGGAGUCGGUGCUCGAUGAUAACUCGCUCGAAACUCGUUGAACAACUCAGAGAUUACCAGGUCCGAUCCCAGCACAAGUGUCCCCCUCUUGCCGUCUUCUCCCCAAAACCCCUUCUUUCAACCUGGAGUGAUGUUGCACUUGCUGUUUCUUGGACCUUAUUAUUUAUUGCCCUCCUACUUUCAUCAUAUAUUACCCUUUACCUAAAACGCUACUUUGUUUCCUCCAUUAUACUAUGCCUUGGUAUCCUUCUUCCUAUACGUUUGAGAAUUCUGCGGCAGUCACUUGCUAGAAAGAGAGACAGAAGACUGAUGCUACCUCUAUCCAUGUGAGCAUCUUCCAAUAUAACGAAGCAUUUGAAAAUCCUUGCCCACAGUCAAACACGCUUUUCAGUUGCAUCCUAGAAAGCUCAAGGCCGCGACAUCGAUCAUUAGAACACACUUGGCUUACCUGUUGUUGGGAAUAUUGGAUGCCUCUGGUUCUGACCCUUUUGAGUCACACACGCUGGAUCAACGAGUAAUGAAAUCGCCCGGGAGAGACUCAAAAUAGCUAUAGCAAAAGUGGGAUUCUUGACUUCAGAUUUUGCAGUUUUUUUUAAAUUGUAAAUGUGUCUGAGGCGUGACUUUGGCCAUCGAUUUGAGUUCAUAGAUGUUAGUACUACUUUAAAAUUUCUCUACUUGGUAGUGGAUGAAGUCACAAUUUAAAGGAACGACUUCAGAUUGCACCAAAGUUAA
Long non-coding RNA from Salvia splendens (bonfire salvia), 967 nucleotides. RefSeq lists it as uncharacterized. The transcript is spliced from 2 exons. The record is from RefSeq and is a predicted model, not a curated record. NCBI's taxonomy places the organism in Eukaryota, Viridiplantae, Streptophyta, Magnoliopsida, Lamiales, Lamiaceae.